AAAAUAAAAACUAACUAAAAACACAUAACGAAUAAUCAAAUAAAUUAAAUUAAUUACAAGUCUUUCCCCGGCAACGGCGCCAAAAACUUCAUGUGCACAAAAGUACCCACUAAUUUUAAUAUUUAUAACCUAUCAAACUUAGACUAACUAUGCACUUAUAGGCAGUGUACCUAGUCAGAUUACAGUAUAGCUUAGGUAAGUCGGGUGUCAAUCACAGGGAACGGUGGUGAAUUAAUUUAAAAUAUUCGAUUAUAGGUUACAGGACACACGAAAUGAAUAAAGAAAUGGUUAUUAAAUCUCAAACGAACAAUUAAUUAACUACACUCGAUAAACUAACAGGAAAACAAAUCUCUUCAGGUACUUUAGUUUAGAUAAAUUACACCUUAAAAGGAUAGACAAUUGCAUAUAUAAAUUCAUUUAUUCAUGUUCACCGAUUCCUAAAAUGAUUAGAUUCGCGUUCACUAUAACUAAUCCUUUAGCAAACAAGUCAAUUCAAACAGUGAUCAGUUGAUUAAACUAACAUGUUUCCUAGUGUUCAGUUCGUAUCAAGCAAGACUUGUACUAAUAGUUAAUUGAAUUGGUCGUUCGAUUAACCUCUUGAUGAUGGUCAUCAAACAAGGCUCACACAUUAACUUACUUAUUUCCAAGUUAACCCUAGUUUCGCAUUCGCUAUUUCUAGACUUAUAAUCUUGAUGGUCAUCAAAGUUAUAAGUUACAAGCAAUCAAGCAGAUGUUCAUACAACUUAGUUUACUUGAAAAUUAACAGAAAAUAAUUAUCAUUAACGCAUAAGGAUCUUUUAACAAGUUUGACAAGAUAAAUUAAACAUAAACAAACAAUUCAAUAUAGCAAUUAGUCCAAUAAUCAAGGUUUCAUUCAAUCAUAAACACAAAGUAAAAGGUUUUUUACACCUAAAUCAGAAACUAAACACAUAAUAGUAUCACGAUGGAAUGCUAAACAUGGUCACCUUAACAACCCAUAUGAUUACUGACAUGUAUCCGCUCUCCAAUCCUUCCGAUCUCCGCUCCCGUUAGCUUAACGGCCUUCCGGCCGCCUUCUAGACCCUCAAAACGGCUUAACCAAAGUUAAUUAUCGACUAAAUUAGGUUAGAAGUCGAAUCCCCCCCUUCUGGUUAGCUGAUAAUAGGUUUUUAUAACCCUUGUAACCGACUUACGUACGCUGGACGUAAGUCGGAUUACGCUGGGCGUACUGAGGAUUAAUGCGCUAUGAGGAAAUCCGGAUGCAAGCAGUUACGCUGGGGCGUAACCAUAUAUUACGUUGGGCGUAACUCGUAUUUGGCUAUUACGCUUAGCGUACAUGUCCAUUACGUUGGGCGUAAUUGGCUCCUCCAACAUUUUUCUUUCUUUUAGCUUCGAAGUCCUAAUUCCGCUCCAGUCUUUUCUUUUGUGCUCUAUCGUCAACGAAUAGCUGCAAAUCAUAAUUCAAAGCAUUAUAAGUACUUUUUAUUUCUAAAAGAGAAUAAUAGAGGCUAAAAUAUUAAGAUAUAAUGCAUAAAAAUAUAUAUAUAAAUACACAUAUCAAAAUACCCCACACUUAGCCUUUGUUUGCCCCCAAGCAAAUUUACUUUUAUUUUACCAAUAUCGCACUAAACAAUCCAUUUUAAACUCAGCCAUUAUGUAAAAACCGCAACGCAUGCAUUUGUGUCUAAAUUUUUUCCUAAAGAACCCCCCCCNCCCCAUACUCUAAAUACUCACAAUCCUCAUAAACAUUCGCCCACUCACCCCGAACCAUGCUCAUUUUAUGCAUCCCUCCGAAUCCAUCCUCAGAAAACCUCUUAACCUCAAGGUAUUUUUGGUUGAGCAACCCAAGCAUACAUAAUCUAGACAAUUACAAUUUAUGAUACCAUAUUGGAGCUCUUUUGGAAUUCUUCACUUCCUUGAUAAUUUGAUCUUUGAUUUCUUUGAAUUCACCACCUUGUUUGAUUUGAUUUCUGGUAUCUUCACCUUUUUGAAUUUCUUUGAAUUUUGAUCUUUUGAUCUUCACUUUGAUUGCUCCAAAAUUCUUACAACUUUUCUUGUAAUUCUCUCUCUUUUUUUACAUAUACCUCACUUUUUUCACUCAAAACCCUACAUGCUUAAGUAGGGGCUCAACUUCAACCUUUAUUGGUUAACGAUAAUUUUUCCUGGAUACAUUUCUGGUACACGAUGCUAAACAUAUUGCAUCCCUCAGGCUGAGCGAGGUUGUGUUUUUGUCCCAUGAUUUCACUAGAAUAAGGAGGCCACAAAUGCACUAUAACGUAUAUAAGCUCAACUAAACAUUUGAGUUCUCAUCGGAUCAUCUCAUACAAUAUUAGCAAAAUUAUCACUAGAUUUUUCUAAAUGAAACUAUUAUUUCAAGUUUUUAAAUUUUUAAAUUUUCUACAUCUAGCAAUUUUCAAACUAUUAUUCCAAUUUUUUUUAAUUUUAAUUUUAAUUUACUUUUAUCGACCCCCUACCCCACACUUAUUUCAUACAAUGUCCUCAUUCUAUGCAUAAAACUAAUUAAGCACAUAAAAAGGGAGAAAAAGGAACAGACUCCCCUGGGUAGUUGUGGUGAGAUCGAAUGGGGCUGCUACAAGUUGCUCUAAACAUUGCUGAAAGACUGAAAACUAGAACUGUUGCUUCUACAUUUGUCGAAAAAUACAAUCAAGAAUGCAGACUUCGAAAAUGUGAUGCAAAAGAUUGCAAACAAAUGCAAUGUAUAGUAACCAUGACGUGGGAAAGUGUCGACCACGUCGUGUCGUCAGGAAUGACAACCGCUUCUCGCGAUGAAAACUCCCCCACAACAUAGGAAAGUGUCAACCAUGUCGUGGCAGCUGGGAUGAUACUUCUACCUCGCGUCGAAAUAAAACUCUAUGGACUGGAAACAGCUCAUCCAUAACAUAAGAGUUAAAAAUAAAAUGUCAUUCUUCUAAACAAUCGCUCACGAAAUCAAUAUGUACCCCACACUUAUGACAAAUCGUGGGUCUUGACUAUAAUCUUCAAACUCUCACACGGCUCUCUCUAGCGACAGUUAGACCUAGCUGCUGAACUUACUGCCAGCUUUCUAAGGGCGAAAAUUCUGCAAAGAUCUAAACAACCAAAGAGCAUCAACAUGGAAAACAAAAGUAAAACAUCCUAGAUUAAACUUAAUUACAUACCAAACAAAAUACUAAGUAACACAAAAAUAAACUAAAAAUAACACAAAAAUAAAAAUAAAAAUAAAAAGGAUAACUAAAUCACUCGUCAUCCCCGUCAUCAUGCUGUUGUGUCCCAGAAGUACCGGCUCCAUCAGAUCGUGGCCGGAAUGGUGGUGGAAAAGGAACCGAGUACUGAAACCCCUGGUGGGCAAAGAAUGCGAUCAACGCAUCCCCAUACCACUAUUGUUGUCUCUCCACGUGUGCAACGCGCUCACCCAGUCGUUGAACUCCCUCGUCAAUGCGGAAAAAUCCCUCGUCCAUGCACUGAUCCAGAUAACGUAUAUCAAUCUCCGGCUCAGGUCCCUGCUGUGCUCCCCGAGGAGCAGGUCUACGUCGCUGGGCUCGUCGCGGCUGUGGCUCGACUGCCCCCUCCUCGUCCGCCACGUCAUCUGGGCGUACCCGCAAGAGACCAUCCUCGCCCCGCUCCAGUACACGCAUCGACUCUAAUAACUAAAGGCUCAUCAGCCUCAUAUCAUGCAACACCAUCGAUCUCGUAAUCUCACGCGUCAACAACUGAUAUGAUCGAGCUAAUCGCGUGAUAAAAUGCCCCCCGCAAAUCGGGAUAUCCUCCCGAAGUCCCCUGGCCCUCCUACCCAAAUACGCGGCUAAAGCAACUGGAAGGUUCAGGUGCCUCCCUGGAGUAACAAGUGCCCAUAAAAAAUAUAAGUCUGUCGAAGGCACUCUCUCACUGUUCUUAUGGUGCGUGAGAGACAUGGAAAUCAAACGUUGCAGCAGUCUAUAUGUGGUAGACCGAAUCAUCCUCCCUCGUCCAGUAGAUGGCGUGUAUACUCCCCCAGUAAUCUCGGCCCAAAAACUGUUUUCAUUAUAGUCAUCUGGCCGGCUCGUGAGACAAUCAGCAAGGAAUGCCGGGAAGUGGACACUCCUCGUCUCGUCUACUGUGUAUAUACCAACUCGAGUGGCAAGCUCUAUGACACUGCACUACCGGCUCACACCACCCAGUCUGAAGGAAAAGGUUGUCCUAUCAUUGGGUGUCUUCCUAGGGUCAUAGGAAACUAUAGCAUAAAACUCCAGCAAAAAUUCCCGAUAUACAGGCUCCUGGAUCCUGAACAGUCUUGCCUAUCCCUGACAUACGAACAAAUGCACUCCACUCGCGUCCGAGUGCGUGUAUUGCAAAAAAUCCUGGAUCAGCGCAGCAAGUCCAGUCUGGGUCGCCAAUUCCCAGCCGAAUGAUGGUGCUAUGUCGAUCUCCUUAGUAAGCAGCAGACUCAGAUUGUUGACAUAUCUGGCUCGGGUUGCAUCAUUUAGAGUUUGCGGAAAUUGUAAGAAACGGUGAUCGGUCACGUCCUCGGGUGGGUUGGUCCUUUGAGUUCUUCGGGCCAUAAUCUGCACAAAUAAACACCAAACAAAAUAAUCACAACAUUAAAAAAUUUAGACUAAAAACAAUGGUCCUUGGGCAUGACUGUAUGUUGGGCGUACAUCCAGCAUACGUUGGGCGUACGUCCAGAUUCACGAAGUUGUCCCCCUGCUGAUCUAAGAUCAUACAAUACACAUGUAUAUAUGUAGGAGUAUUCUACAAGACAUUCAAAAAAAUGGGGUAUUUUCCAAGACAUAUGUCGAAGAAUGCGUAACAGCCCCUGUUUGUUCUAAAGUCAUAACCCAUAUCAAAGUUAGGCCUGGAAAUCAUGUCGUGUUCGAGUUGGCGUGUCGCGGGUUGACGGGUUGGCUGGUCAAAAUAUGCCAACCCAAACACGACCCAUUUAAAUAUACAGGUCACGGGUUGGCGGGUUUGGAACAUAAACCCAUAUAUGACCCACCAACCCAUUUAUUUAUACGGGUUCACAAGUUGGCAGGUUCGUGGAUCAGAUUUGGGUUCGUGGGUCCAAAUUUUAGAUAUUUAUGUCUUAAACAUCUAAAUGAAAAUUAAAAACAUUCAUAGAAACAUGUUACAGACUUAACCUUAUAUGUUACGACUUAUGACCUUAGACCAUCCACCAAGAGUAAUAAUGUCAAAACAAUCAAAUGGUCUAUGAAUAAAUGGUAUAUAUUAUAUAAUACUUAUUAAAUAUUAAUACUUGAUACAUAAAUAUAUUUAAAAAUACAAUAAUUUUUUUUAUUAAGAAUAUAAACGGGUUGGCGGGUCAACCCGUUUAUUUUUUAAGAAACCCAUAUAUGACCCAUUUAAUAAACGGGUUGGCGGGUUGAAAAACUCAACCCAAACCUAUUUAUUUCGUAUCGUGUCGCGUGUCGUGUCGAGAAUUGUCAGCCCUAANNNNNNNNNCACAGGCUAUUCAUCUAGAACGCUAUGUAUUCGCUCAAAUCCUCGAAUCGAAUGUUCAUACACAAGUUUAAAGGCCAAAUCGAGUUCAAGGGUUUAGUCUAUUGGUCCGAAUCGAUGUAUUAAAACAUAAUCAAACAACAGAUUCAUGAAAUCGACCCCAAUUGACGAAGGGUAUAAACCCUAGAAUUCUAUUUAGGCUAAAUGAAGCUAAUUCCACUAAUUGAAACACAAAUUAACGUGAUAUGGCUUCCGAAUGACAUACCUUAGUGUCGAUUUCUACAAGAAAAGAAGAAUCGAUGAUCUUGUGGGAGAACUUGUCAUCACAGCGUAUGUGUGUGCGAAGGAAGAGAAAUUGAAAGAAUAACAAAAAAGUCAAAGGGUAAAAUGAUAAGACCUGUCGUCGAUUUACGCUGAGCGUAAAUUCAAAUGUACGCGGGGCGUACCUCUAAUGCCGAGAAAAAGUCAUACGCGAUCAAAGGUUCAUUACGCUUGGCGAAAUGUGAAUUACGUUGGGCGUAAUUUUAACUGAAAUAUUUCCUUUUCCUUAUUUGAAAUUCCUUUUUCCAACUAAUAAAUUUGGGAACUUCUAAAUAUAAUUAUUUUUUUUUCUCUUUUAAUUGCUUCAACAACAGCCAUGACUUUCCGACGGGUGACAUAUUUAAAAAAAAAAAUGUGACAUCAUGAUCACUUGUUUUUGUCGAGAUCAAACAACAAUGGUUGAUUAAAACCCUUGCACACAAGAAUUGGUUUGCGAAAACAACCACUUUCGGAACCCGUUAGAAUAUUUCUUUUGUUUUCUUCGUACCUUUAACUAAAAGUAGAACAAGAAGUGACCUUACUAAUCAAGAACAGAAAGAGCUCGGUCUUCCACUUAAGCACCACAAUACACCUUGCUAUACUACGCCUCAUGGAUUGAUUCGGUCAAAUCAACAAAGUAGUAGGCUAAGCAGGUCAAGAAUUCCCUAAUCACUUGCAUUCUCGAAACCCAUGCAAAAAAAAUAAAGUCAAGCAAUGUGUACAAUCCCAAAUUCCUGCAAUUAACAACAAGAACCUUCCCGACAAGUGAAAUAAUAUCAACGAAAAUCAAACUAAAAAUAAAAACUAACUAAAAACAAAUAACGAAUAAUCAAAUAAAUUAAAUUAAUUACAAGUCGUUCCCCGGCAACGGAUCCAAACACUUGAUGUGCACGAAAGUACCCACUAAUUUUAAUAUUUAUAACCUAACAAACUUAGACUAACUAUGCACUUAUAGGCAGUGUACCUAGUCAGAUUACAAUAUAGCUUAGGUAAGUCGGGUGUCGAUCACAGGGAACGGUGUUGACUUAAUUUAAAAUUCGAUUAUAGGUUACAGGACACAUGAAAUGAAUAAAGAAAUGGUUAUUGAAUCUCAAAAGAACAAUUAAUUAACAACUCUCGAUAAACUAACAGGAAAACAAAUCUCUUCAGGUACUUUUGUUUAGAUAAAUUACACCUUAAAAGCAUAGACAAUUGCAUAUAUAAAUUCAUUUAUUCAUGUUUACCGAUUCCUAAAAUGAUUAGAUUCGCGUUCACUAUAACUAAUCCUUUAGCAAACAAGUCAAUUCAAACAGUGAUCAGUUGAUUAAACUAACACGUUUCCUAGUGUUCAGUUCGUAUCAAGCAAGACUUGUACUAAUAGUUAAUCGAAUUGGUCGUUCAAAUAACCUCUUGUUGAUGGUCAUCAAACAAGGCUCACACAUUAACUUACUUAUUUCCAAGUUAACCCUAGUUUCGCAUUCGCUAUUUCUAGACUUAUAAUCUUGAUGGUCAUCAAAGUUAUAAGUUACAAGCAAUCAAGUAGAUGUUCAUACAACUUAAUUUACUUGACAAUUAACAGCACAUAAUUAUCAUUAACGCAUAAGGAUCUUUUAACAAGCUUGACAAGAUAAAUUAAACAUAAACAAACAAUUCAAUAUAGCAAUUAGUCCAAUAAUCAAGGUUUCAUUCAAUCAUAAACACAAAGUAAAAGGUUUUUUUACACCUA
This 7417-nucleotide long non-coding RNA is filed under the name Lactuca sativa (garden lettuce). RNAcentral describes it as "long non-coding RNA (LSAT_LNC001429)". Lineage: Eukaryota; Viridiplantae; Streptophyta; Magnoliopsida; Asterales; Asteraceae. The record is from RNAcentral.